UACGUAGGGUGCAAGCGUUGUCCGGAAUUAUUGGGCGUAAAGAGCUCGUAGGCGGCUUGUCGCGUCGGCUGUGAAAACUCGGGGCUCAACCCCGAGCCUGCAGUCGAUACGGGCAGGCUAGAGUCCGGAAGAGGCGAGUGGAACUCCUGGUGUAGCGGUGGAAUGCGCAGAUAUCAGGAAGAACACCGACGGCGAAGGCAGCUCGCUGGGACGGUACUGACGCUGAGGCGCGAAAGCGUGGGGAGCGAACAGG
This 253-nucleotide ribosomal RNA is filed under the name uncultured bacterium. Its description in RNAcentral is "partial 16S ribosomal RNA". It matches the Rfam family "Bacterial small subunit ribosomal RNA", at positions 524 to 776 of the family's 1533-position model. The record is from RNAcentral.